UACGUAGGCAGCAAGCGUUGUUCGGAGUUAUUGGGCGUAAAGGGCUCGUAGGCGGUUCGUCACGUCGGGAGUGAAAACUCGGAGCUUAACUCCGAGCCUGCUUCCGAUACGGGCAGACUAGAGGUAGGCAGGGGAGAGCGGAACUCCUGGUGUAGCGGUGGAAUGCGCAGAUAUCAGGAAGAACACCGGUGGCGAAGGCGGCUCUCUGGGCCUUACCUGACGCUGAGGCGCGACAGCGUGGGGAGCAAACAGG
RNAcentral lists this ribosomal RNA (253 nucleotides) under uncultured bacterium. Its description in RNAcentral is "partial 16S ribosomal RNA". It matches the Rfam family "Bacterial small subunit ribosomal RNA", at positions 524 to 776 of the family's 1533-position model. The record is from RNAcentral.